Molecule: long non-coding RNA, 2140 nt
Organism: Paramisgurnus dabryanus
Lineage: Eukaryota; Metazoa; Chordata; Actinopteri; Cypriniformes; Cobitidae
Source: RefSeq, a predicted model, not a curated record
AAAAAAUAUAUGUUUAAUUACACAUUUAAAAAAAAAGUAUGUUAAACACAAGCAUACUUUUACAGAGGUUUUAGUGUAUUUAGAAAAAAAACAUAUUUUUUUUUAAACAUGUACAUUAAUUUUAAUAGGCUAACAUUGCAAUUUCAACAUCAUAUCAUUGAACUUGCAUUAUAUAUUGAUUUCACAAAGUUAGUCCACAUAAAUUUGUUAGUGUUUAUAUUCAAACAACACACGUGACGGACUGACUAAACCUCAUUGGUUCUUGGGAUUCAGUACGUCACAUUGGCUUCCUGAUUCAGUUGUUCGAUACACAACGUGCGUGAUCGUUGGUAAAUGUGGAUUAAAAGUUGAAACUAAAACUGUUAAAUUAUAUAUAGUGAUCAUCAGAGGACUUGGGUGAAACAACGCGAUUCACAUGGAUUACUUCGGCGAUGUUUUUUAUUGCUGUUGCGAUUAACUUUUUGAAAUGUGAGCAGUUUUUAAGUAGGUUAUCAAGUGGAUCUGACAUCGUGGGGAAAUAUACGUUUCUUGGAUUUCAUUAAAGUACAUCGGUUUUUGUUUGAAGAUGAAUGAGAGAACAUGAGGCACAGCGGCAUUCAAAUUGACCAAUCAGAGCCGAGAAUAUCUAAUAAGUCGAAGUAGAGAUGAACAGAUGAAGAUACAGCCCGUAAAAAUACUUAUUCUUGGUGAGUGCCAUGUAGCGACGGAUCAAACGGACACUCAUGUCAAGCUUGAUGAGGACACAGUCAAAGCUUUAAAAGACCUUGUGAUUAAGUCUUCAGUGUCUGAAUGGCAAGAAGAAGUGACCCUCCACUUAAACGUGACAUUUAAACUGCUCUGUGUUUUGGUUCAGCCAUUUGUAGGUUUAUCUCGAGUAAGUUCAAAUGCACUUCUGCAUUUGUCCAGUAACUUUUUGUUUAGAGAAUUACAUCAUUAUGAUUAUAUAAUUAUUCAAUGGUUGCAUAUUCAUAGUGUACUUUUCAUAUUGAUGUAUUAAUGUUCCACAAUUUGAUAAAAGUAGCUCAUUGCAUUUCAUUGAUCUUUGUUUUAUAUUGUAAAAUCAUUUCAAUGGCAGUGAGUACAUACUUAGUUGUUUCUUUGACAUUUAAUUAGCUGUUAAUGAUGGAAGAAACCGGUUCGUAUGUAUGAAUACAGAAUAGGUAUCAUUUUAGAAUGAGUUAAAACAUGUUUUGGUGGCAAACAUGCAGGUAAAAUAGUACAUGUAUAACAUUCUAAUAGUAAACUUGACUGAAAUUCAAAUGUCACAUACAGUACAUUAGAAAUGAUUUAUUUUAUGUAUACAAAUGUGUGGGCAAUAUAUUAUUAUUUCAUUUUGUAUGCUAUAUUAUUUAUGUUAUAUUAUUAUAUCUGAAAUUAUUAAAUUACAUUUAUAAAUGUUUAAAAGGUGGGUUCAAAUGUGCUUCAAGUUGUAACUGAAUACUAUUUUAGAAAAUAGGGACUUUAAGCAACAGCCUCUGGUGGAACGGCAACGGCAUUCUGACGUUGGUUUGCGCAUGCGCGAAUUUAAAUGCUACUUUGCGACGUUCUACUGUAACGGUCUACUACGGGAGAACAGCUGAUUUGCCGUAGUCGCUACAACGUGAGAGAAUAUGUAAAUAAAUGUUAUGUUUUAUGGCAUAUGACAUUGUAAUUGCAUCAGUUUAUGAUUGUACCAAAAGUCUUUUAUAUAAUAUGUGUUCAAAUGUUUGAAAUUUAAGCUAAUUUUAAAGAUUUUUAAUUAUUCAACAUUUUCAGUAUUGCUUAAAUCUAGGUUUUAAGAUUUAUUUACAUCAUACAAUAGUAAAAACUCUUCUUCUGACAAAAGAUUGUCAUUUAAUGCCAAAAGCAAUCCUUCUCUUGUUUUUUUAAAUGACAUAUUUUUGUAUCUUAAUAAAUGAAUUAAUACCGCGUUGCGCUGUUCUGUUUACGGUUGCUUAGUGAUUUUUACGUUCUUGGCUACGGCGGUCUGACAGCAUACUUCCGGUCGCCGUAGCCGUUCCAUUCCCAGCUGUUGCUUAAAGUCCCUAAUAGCACAGUUGAGUACACUUAGAUUGUCUUAAGUUUGUCUUAACAAGUACUAAAUACUACUUUUUAGUAUAUUAAGCACAAUUUACUGCACGAAAAUAAAGAGCUUUUGGUA